RNAcentral lists this long non-coding RNA (2567 nucleotides) under Homo sapiens (human). RNAcentral describes it as "HSALNT0299611". Lineage: Eukaryota; Metazoa; Chordata; Mammalia; Primates; Hominidae. The record is from RNAcentral.
AGCUACAGGAGUGGAAGGCGCAGCCAAGCAGCCGCUGGUAUUUCUGUGUUGCAUAUGGGCUGGGGUCCCUCCUGUCCUUCUCUCCUACACGAUCCCAGAUCUGAUUUCUAAUGGUGUUGUAUUUCCUCCCUAAAUCAUUUUUCAAUAGUAUUUUUGUUCUUCUGUGGGAUACAGAAGAACUUUUUUUUCCUAUUGCAAUAAGGACAAGUAAACAAGUCAGAAGCCUCAGAAGACCUCAAGAGAGAAAUCACAGCCUUCAAUUCCUGGUCCCUUUCUGAAACCUCAGCUCUUGAUUCACUUAAUUUCAAGGAGAAUUGUUUUAUGACUACGCCAAGCUGACCCAAAGACCCCUGGGAAGCACGUGGCCCAUCAGAGGGAAGGGCUAGGCCCUGGGGCUGGAAAGGAUGCAGAGCCUGUUUUCAACAAUUACGUCUACAUUUUCCAAGAGAUUAAACCGAUUGGAAGCCAAGCAUUGGAGAAGAGAUCUUUUGUCUUCCUUGGCAACAUUUCUGAAAUCUACAGAUAGGGAUGAGGAAGUGAGGCACAUUUUUCAUCUGUUCCAACAAACUGCCAAUGGAAUGGCUGACAUGCCAUUUUAGUGUAUGUCAUCUCUCCCGUGUUCCGUCAUCACUGAGGGUCAGCUGGGCCCUGCCCUUGAAUACAGCACAGGGCUGGUGUCAUGGAGCCGGCCUUCCUUACACUAAUGAACCGCAGGAGCCUCCCCUUGUCCCUUGCCUGGGGGGAACUAAUGGCAUUGCAGGGCAAAGGCUCAGCAGGGACCCUGUAGAUAGAGGAUAGAUCGGCACCCAGGCGUCUUACAGGGUGGACCCCAUGCUGGCAGGGUGGGAAGCCAGAGAAAAGAGGCUUGGAAGAAGCAAAGGGAACUCUCAAGAGGGUGCAGAGAUGAACGUGGCUUGCACCUGGAGAAUUCCCAGCCAAUGUGAGCUUGACGCCCCUCUCCUUUCCACCAAUCAGAUGGCACUACCACCUCCUCCUAAUUCCUCUACCAAUGAAAACUAGGUUCCUUUACCUUAUCCACCAAUCAGGGCUUUGGACAAAGAAUAAUCUUAUCAAACCCCACAUGGAUUCACACGCAUCUGGUAGCUUGGUUGUUGGGUGCUCACUGGGUGGUUCCCCCAGUGCCCCGCUCCUACAGUGACUGCAGCCAGCAGCACCCAGGAGACGGAACCUCCCCGCCCAGCCCGGCGCCCGCCAGCCCUGGUGCCGUUUUUAUAGCAGCAUGCCUCUAGCAAUCAAGACACCUGGCACCUCGGAGGGCCGACUUCCAGAAGGAUUUGCCACAGGGCACCACAACAACUUCUCUGCCAUUCAGAGUCACAGCUGCACAGGUCUGGAUCUCCGCCUGGGGCCGGCGUGGGGGCUCUCUCAGUCCUGGGGCUGGUUCACUGGAGUUUUCUUUCUUUGUUACUAGCCAGCCCCUCAUGGCUGUAAUCCCUUGCUCUAGUAAAUAAUUCUUUAUAUUGAAUUUUCUCUGUUCAAAUUACUACGUGAUUUCUCUCUCCGGACUGGACUCAGACUGAUACAAGUAUGGACCCCCUAGAAGGAACAACAAAUGGAGCUGCCGUCUAUAUACACACGUCGAUUUAGGUCUCUGUCUCUGGCAACUGAAAAGAGACCCAACAAAACAUCUUACAGAGCACCAGGGCCAAUUCUUGAUGCGUCGUUAGAUUCUGUGUAGCCAGAAAGCAGAAACAGAAACAUAUCCAAGCCAGGCGGAGGAAAAACUUUGAGGCCUGUUUAUCCAGGUUCAAGACAAUUUCUAUUUAAAAAAAAAAAAAAGAAAAAAAGAGAGAAAAAAAAAGCUCAUAACAGAAUAAGUUCAGCUUCUCCUGAGUGUCAGAGCUAAGAUCUAACGCCUCUGCUGGUUUCCAUGACAACCACCAGCAGCUACAAUCAUGCCGAACCAAGAACCAGAGGAUUCAGUAACUUUACCUUGAUUCUGUGGCCAGAUUAUUGCCAAUUUUAAAAGGAAAUGCAUAGUGAGCCCCUGUCUCUGUUGUGUCUUCAGUUGUCCCUUGAAAUCUGGAUAUCUUGACAAGAGGCCAGGGCCUAUCCUAUCUCAUCUCCCCAAGCUAGUGUCCUUCCCAGAUGAAUUUCUUCUGGCGCUGGCUCUGUGGCAGGCUCAUGUCGUUUUUUCCCCAAAGAAGAGAUUCCAGAGACGAGGCCUUCACUGAGAGCUUGCUCCUCUACCUCCUGUGGGUUUCAGGGCUGGGACGGGGGACACAGAGAAUCUGUCUCUCGCGAAUGCCAAGUUGAGGUCCUAGCCUGGCUAGGAACUCUUGCAUUCCCCUUGCCUCGCUGUAGCCUCCCCUGGGAACAGACCUUCCAGGAGGGUCGCACCGAGUGAUGAGACUGUUGCAUGAGGCUCUGCAGUGCUUGGACACAGAACUGCACUGCGGCCUUCCAGAUGCUCAGCUGGAAAACCCCUGAGAACCUGAGGCUUUUCUACAGCACAUUAGAGCUUAUGACUGGAGAGUGUCUACCGCCUGAGGGCAGGGAUGAGAUUUUACCUAUCCUAUUCACCUGCUUAGGUGCCCACUUCAUCC